This 2514-nucleotide long non-coding RNA is filed under the name Mytilus galloprovincialis (Mediterranean mussel). Lineage: Eukaryota; Metazoa; Mollusca; Bivalvia; Mytilida; Mytilidae. The record is from RNAcentral.
AAACUUGCAUCAAUAGCAAUCAACAAACACAUAUAUAAUAUUAUAGGGUUAUUGCAUGAAUAUUGGGGAAUAUUGUCCCGAGUAGAAUUUUAUAUUGCACGAGCUUGCGAGUGCAAUAUAUGUUCUACGAGGGACAAUAUUCCCCAAUAUUCAUGCAAUAACCCUUUUAUUGUAUAGCAAUAUAAUAUUUUAAAGUAAAACUUGGUUUAAACUAAGAUUUAAACGUUGAUGACGUCAUGAAUUUUGAAGAUUUAUUGCACUAGUGCAAUAUUAGAAUUUAUUGCACGCUAACUUUUGGUUACGUUCUGUGGGAAAUAUUAUAUUGCUAUACAAUAAAACAAGAAAUAGUAUAUCUGCUGUCUAAAUAAGGGUCAGUUUAAUUGAAUUGAAUGCUUCUAUUUGACAGAAGCAAAUUUUGUAUGAAGCACUUAAUUUCUAAAAAUGUAUGCAUGGUCAAAACUUUUACCACCCUAUGAAAUUACUAAAAGAAGCAUUCAAUACUGAUAAUAACAUUUUUUGGUAGGAUCAUGAAAACAAGAUUUCUAUCAAGUUUUUCUUUUUAACCUGUGCACUUUAAUGUGGAAAAACAUGUCACCAUGAAUUUUACAAUUCAUUUUGCAAUGAAUGUUGAUUUCAGAAUUACACGAGAAUCCUGUUAGCCAAUCAUAAUAUCUUAUCAUAAUGAAAUAUGAAAUAUACAUGUAAUGAAAUUAUUUUAAAUUACUCUCUUCCCUGGCUCCUAAUUUUCACUCUUGACAUAAAAAAUAAACAAAUGAGUAUGAGAUGUUAGUGGUAUUCAUUUCUGUUAGAUUGAAUUAAUGUGAUACUGAAUCUUAAAAAAAGAAACAACCAUAGAAUCAUUACAAUUGUAAAUGAUUUUUUUCCUGAACGGCAAUGAAACAUCAUUAACAAUUAUUAUUGUUUAAUGCAUGGUUACUGUGUGAGAGAAGACGAAAAUUAAAGCACUUCUGGGCACCCAAAGAAAAAGAUUGCUUUUAUUUUACAAUUUUGUGAAUUUAAAAUAAAACAUUGAAUAGUAUAAAUUUUAGCUAUGUAAAUUACAAAAUUGAGUUAAGUUAUCUUUCUUUAUUCUUGAGAAUACAUUUGUAGUUGAACCUAUUUUUAUCACAAUUUCAUACUUAUAUAAAUUUGAAUAACAAACAUUCUGCUUCAGAGUUCAGUUAUUUAAAUACAAAUCAUAUUUUUACUUUAACAUCAAAGUAUAAUAUAUCAUUGAUAAAUUGCUUAACAUUUAGGGGGGUUAAAAUCUAAAGAAUGAUAACUCCAUAGCACUAUGUCGUUUGAAACUAUGUAAGGUAGUGAUAAACCUUGGAAGAUUUAGAUAUUAUGUCAAAACAAUAAAGUUUUGAUUGCAUUUCAUGCAAUCUUUACCCCAAAACUUUUUAUUCUAAAGUAAAGCUAUUCUUUCAAAUCUAUGACUUUAAAUAAUGUAUGAAAGCAUUAAUGCCCUUCAAACUUAAUAUCAUAAAAAAAACAAUUUCUAUAAUAUUCCAAAUCUGAUUAUAUCUUUUACUGACUUCUUACAUGUUUCAGCACAAAAAGAAAAUCAAAGCAUGUUUAACAUGUUAGUAGUGUAUGGACAGUCACACAAGCAUUGUGUACAGUGUCUUGAGCACCAUGGAAUGAAUUAUGUACAUCAUGUAAUGAUAAAAAUUUGCAGAAAACUUUCAACAUCAUUUUUUUACUAAAAUCAAGAAUAAUUUCAGAUCAUAAUUUAUGGCACAAGCAAGUAAACUAAGUUGAGCAAUAAUGGAUUUAAGCUCUCAUAAAGAUUAUAUAAUUCAACACCUCAUAUGUUUAACUAAAUCUAUAGAAAGCACUUUAGAAUGAAACAUCACAGUUUACAAUGGUUUAGGUAUAUAUAAUUUACAAAUUUAUCUAUACAUAUAAAGUCAAUAAAAGAAGAUAUUUAGGAUGAACUUGCAAAUACACGAUCUUCUAACUGGUGCCUAUUCCCAGAAAAAUUUGAUGUUGUAAAGAAUCUAUCUUUACUUCAAAAUGUUCAAUGACAUGGUUUUUCCCUACCCCUUUUUGAUCCUGAGUCAACUGGGGCAGGUAGUUUAUAAAAUCGAAAUUGGAAAACUGCCUGUAAUUGACUCAACUUUUAAAUAAUUUUUCAAUAAAACCACUUUUUAUAUAUAGUUAAUGCUAACAGUACUCUUUAUCUUUCUACAAUUAAGGAACUUUUUUCAACUCUCAUACUAUCAUAAUAACAACUUUUUUAAUCAUUAUAACAUGAUCAGUAUCAAUUUUUCUGCACCAGAUGGGCAUUUUUCGUCAAUCAAUGUCCCUUCAGUGGUACUCAAAGGCCAAAAUAUUAGAAAAUCGAAAGUUUAUCUAAAAGAUGAAGAGCUAUAAACCAAAGGGGAUAAAAAGGUAUAGCCAAAGAUUUUCUUGAAGUGAACCUGUAUCUGCAUUCUAUUUAAAGAAUGACUGUAACAUUUUUUCUGUCUAUGAAGAGAUAACAUCAAAAUGUGGUGCACACUGAAUAAC